GACGAACGCUGGCGGCGUGCUUAACACAUGCAAGUCGAACGGAAAGGCCCUGCUUUUGUGGGGUGCUCGAGUGGCGAACGGGUGAGUAACACGUGAGUAACCUGCCCUUGACUUUGGGAUAACUUCAGGAAACUGGGGCUAAUACCGGAUAGGAGCUCCUGCUGCAUGGUGGGGGUUGGAAAGUUUCGGCGGUUGGGGAUGGACUCGCGGCUUAUCAGCUUGUUGGUGGGGUAGUGGCUUACCAAGGCUUUGACGGGUAGCCGGCCUUAGAGGGGGACCGGGCACAAUGGGACUGAGAGACGGCGCAGAAUCGUACGGGAGGCAGCAGUGGAGAAUAUUGCGCAGUGGGCGGAAGCGUGAGGCAGAGACGUUGGGUGCGUAAUACCGGGCUUCGGGGGGUAAACAGAUUUCGAAGGAGACGAGGAGGGAGUGACGGUAAUGGGUAAAGAAGCACCGGCUAACUACGUG
RNAcentral lists this ribosomal RNA (468 nucleotides) under uncultured bacterium. RNAcentral describes it as "partial 16S ribosomal RNA". It matches the Rfam family "Bacterial small subunit ribosomal RNA", at positions 28 to 507 of the family's 1533-position model. The record is from RNAcentral.